UACGUAGGGGGCAAGCGUUGUCCGGAGUUACUGGGCGUAAAGCGCACGCAGGCGGUCUGUUAAGUUUGGAGUGACAGUUGGUGGCUUAACUGCCAAAGUGCUUCGAAAGCUGACAGACUUGAGGGCUUCAGAGGGACACGGAAUUCCGGGUGGAGUGGUGAAAUGCGCAGAUAUCAGGAGGAACACCGGUGGCGAAGGCGGGUCUCUGGGCCGAUACUGACGCUGAGGAGCGAAAGCGUGGGGAGCGAACAGG
Molecule: ribosomal RNA, 253 nt
Filed under: uncultured bacterium
Lineage: Bacteria
Description: partial 16S ribosomal RNA
Rfam family: Bacterial small subunit ribosomal RNA
Source: RNAcentral